Molecule: ribosomal RNA, 253 nt
Filed under: uncultured bacterium
Lineage: Bacteria
Description: partial 16S ribosomal RNA
Rfam family: Bacterial small subunit ribosomal RNA
Source: RNAcentral
UACGAAGGGAGCGAGCGUUGUUCGGAUUUAUUGGGCGUAAAGCAUUCGUAGGUGGUUUGUUAAGUUAGUGGUGAAAUCUCCGGGCUCAACCCGGAAACUGCCAUUAAAACUGGCUUACUAGAGCGCGAAAGAGAAGGGCGGAAUUUCAAGUGUAGUAGUGAAAUACUUAGAUAUUUGAAGGAACACCAGUUGCGAAAGCGGCUCUUUGGUUCGUUGCUGACACUGAGGGAUGACAGCGUGGGGAGCAAACAGG